AUUGAACGCUGGCGGCAUGCUUUACACAUGCAAGUCGAACGGUAACAGGCCGCAAGGUGCUGACGAGUGGCGAACGGGUGAGUAAUGCAUCGGAACGUGCCCAGUCGUGGGGGAUAACUACUCGAAAGAGUAGCUAAUACCGUAUACGAUCUAUGGAUGAAAGCGGGGGACCGUAAGGCCUCGCGCGAUUGGAGCGGCCGAUGUCAGAUUAGGUAGUUGGUGGGGUAAAGGCUCACCAAGCCAACGAUCUGUAGCUGGUCUGAGAGGACGACCAGCCACACUGGGACUGAGACACGGCCCAGACUCCUACGGGAGGCAGCAGUGGGGAAUUUUGGACAAUGGGCGCAAGCCUGAUCCAGCAAUGCCGCGUGCAGGAAGAAGGCCUUCGGGUUGUAAACUGCUUUUGUACGGAACGAAACGGCUCUGGUUAAUACCCGGGGCUAAUGACGGUACCGUAAGAAUAAGCACCGGCUAACUACGUG
RNAcentral lists this ribosomal RNA (482 nucleotides) under uncultured bacterium. RNAcentral describes it as "partial 16S ribosomal RNA". It matches the Rfam family "Bacterial small subunit ribosomal RNA", at positions 30 to 507 of the family's 1533-position model. The record is from RNAcentral.